Molecule: long non-coding RNA, 317 nt
Filed under: Populus trichocarpa (black cottonwood)
Lineage: Eukaryota; Viridiplantae; Streptophyta; Magnoliopsida; Malpighiales; Salicaceae
Description: long non-coding RNA (PTRI_LNC003145)
Source: RNAcentral
UUUUGACCUCGUCCAGUGUAAUGAUUUGGACUUGUAAGAAUCAUGAUUCACGAGUCCAUAACUACUAAAUCCACUACAUGUCAUUAUGCAUACUGCUAAAAAUUUAGCUACAGUGUGGGGUUCAGUUUCAGGAGGUAUGAAUUCAAAAUUGUUUGGUCACCUCAUGUCAUUUUUAAGCAUCGAGUCAUUUUUGCAAUCAAAAUACUUUUAAUCUUCAGGAUUGAUUAAUCUUAAUCGCAUGUUGGAGCUUGAUCAAAAUAUUUUGUAAAAAUACCCUUUGAAAGAAGCAUCUCUUGAUUUCAAAACAACAGGAAGAC